AGUGAACGCUGGUGGUAGGCCUAACACAUGCAAGUCGAACGGCAGCACAGAGGAGCUUGCUCCUUAGGUGGCGAGUGGCGGACGGGUGAGGAAUACAUCGGAAUCUACUCUGUCGUGGGGGAUAACGUAGGGAAACUUACGCUAAUACCGCAUACGACCUACGGGUGAAAGCAGGGGAUCUUCGGACCUUGCGCGAUUGAAUGAGCCGAUGUCGGAUUAGCUAGUUGGCGGGGUAAAGGCCCACCAAGGCGACGAUCCGUAGCUGGUCUGAGAGGAUGAUCAGCCACACUGGAACUGAGACACGGUCCAGACUCCUACGGGAGGCAGCAGUGGGGAAUAUUGGACAAUGGGCGCAAGCCUGAUCCAGCCAUACCGCGUGGGUGAAGAAGGCCUUCGGGUUGUAAAGCCCUUUUGUUGGGAAAGAAAUCCAUCUGGUUAAUACCCGGGUGGGAUGACGGUACCCAAAGAAUAAGCACCGGCUAACUUCGUGCCAGCAGCCGCGGUAA
This 506-nucleotide ribosomal RNA is filed under the name uncultured bacterium. Its description in RNAcentral is "partial 16S ribosomal RNA". It matches the Rfam family "Bacterial small subunit ribosomal RNA", at positions 29 to 523 of the family's 1533-position model. The record is from RNAcentral.